CUAGGGAGUGGAAUUUGCUUCUUAGAAGCUUCAUAUAGGUAUUCAAAAGCUCAUGCAAAGAAGAGUUCGACAAGAACCUGAGGAAAAGAACAACAAUCAAAUGGAUUAUUGGGAAUGGUUCCUGAAUGCUCCUGUUUUCCUUCCAGAAUGGUGCUUCCUCAAACCUGACUUUAAUUGCAGUUUGACAUGCUGGUUUUUCCCAUUGACAAUUCAAUGAUUGAGACAAUAUAUAGGUUGAAAAAAGAGGGUGAGAAGAGCCACCCAACCUCAUCUGAAAAGGUAUGCGUUGGAUCAUACUACUUUCUGAUCAUCAAACCGAGAUGUACAUCUCACUGUGUAUCGGAGAAAGUAAUCAGCGUGACCCACAUACAUUCCCCUUCGUCGACUAACGCAGGCCACAGAAAUUAACAAGGUGAUAAAAUUUGGAUAUCUUUGAGCGGAAAUGACACAAGUGCCCUGUUAUUAUAAUUGCCUUGCGAAGACGAGAGAGGAUGAUUUGUGUGGCUUGUAAUAAACAAAUGCACACAAGGGAGACAUAACAAAUGAGGGCAUUUUGGUAUUUAUCAUCAUUAGAUUACAUAACUUGCCUACAUAACAUAAUUUUAAAAAAUGCAUAAUGUACAUUAUUCACUUGGAAAGGACAAGGUCGGUAUUCUAGUGACUAGUACACUUUAGAUUCAGUGGUUGUAGUACUUGUGAUUUUAAUUACCAGCAUUGUUUGUUUUUAUCCUAUGCAAGGCACGAAAAUCCAGUUUUUCCUCAAAAGUAAAAGGAAGAAAACCCAUGUCCGCUUUAUGUUUACAGAAUUUUCUUGUGAAAUGUCUACUUUCGCGCCUCAAUAGUCAUAUAGUUUUGUCAGCAUCAGUCAGGUGUGAUGUUGACUGUUUUGGAGAUAACUGUAAUGUUAAAGUAAGCUCAGACUUUUGGCCUUUCCAGGCUAUCAAGAGGCAACUUAACAACUGCUAAUGAUCUGACAGGUCGACCUAAGAAAUUUUCAACAAUUUUCCAUUGUACAGAAAACACAAAGGGAUCAGCUAUUGACCACAUCUGCUGGUAGAUCAAGUCAUCCUUAGUUCUCUCCCCAUGUCAUUUAUAUUAUUGCACUGUUGGUCAACAUUGUAGUUGUGACCAUCAUGUAACAUUUUUUGUCAACAUAGACUUUUUGAAUUCUGUUACAACUUAAGUUGAUAAAUUCAAGAAGCUCAGUAACUUUUUUUCGGAUAGUACGUAUUUUUCAAAUGGGGGUCAAGUACAUAUUAUCACACCGUCAGUCAAUAUUGUGAGCUGCGACCAUCAUGGCAACUCUUUUUUUCGUCGGUGGACUUUUGAAUUCUGAUACAGUUGAUAAAUCCAAGUUCAGUAACUUUACUUCAGAUAUAUGUACAGGUCAAGUACAUAUAUAUUUCACCAUUGGUCAAUAUUGUGAGCUGUGGCCAUCAUGGUCAAGUAGUACAUAUCAUUGCACCGUUGGUCAACAUUGUGGGCUGUGAUCAUCAUGGUCAAGUAUAAUUUAUCAUUUCAGAUUUCAAAGACAAGUACAGACGUGUGUCCAUCAAAUCAGUCUCUCUGCUAGGCAGGCUGACAGCUGUAUCAACUAGCAGACUUUUCUAGGUCAAGGAGUACCCAUCAGAACGGUUCCUCUCAAGCUUUUGAGUUGAAUUGUCCCAUUCGUUCUCAUGCAAGUCAAGAUACUUGUUUAGCCUGAACACUGCAAGAGACAAACGCAGCGACCCGGUUUCAGUUCAUUUUCUACAGGAUAAUACUCGGUCUAUAUCAUUGUUCUGUUAUUUGUCCAACAAAAAUAACUUAGUCCGAAAUCGUUUGGCGAUACAAUUUCUUUAUAA
Aegilops tauschii subsp. strangulata is the source of this 1844-nucleotide long non-coding RNA. RefSeq lists it as uncharacterized. NCBI's taxonomy places the organism in Eukaryota, Viridiplantae, Streptophyta, Magnoliopsida, Poales, Poaceae. The record is from RefSeq and is a predicted model, not a curated record.